Adelges cooleyi (spruce gall adelgid) is the source of this 820-nucleotide long non-coding RNA. RefSeq lists it as uncharacterized. The record is from RefSeq and is a predicted model, not a curated record. Lineage: Eukaryota; Metazoa; Arthropoda; Insecta; Hemiptera; Adelgidae. The transcript is spliced from 3 exons.
UUUGCCGAUGUCGUCUUGUUCGUCUAUCGAAUCCAUCAAGUCCCAAGUUUCGGUAAUGAGAUCAAGGACUUGUUUGGUGAUCACAAACGCGUUGUCCGGCACCGUCAACUCUGUCCCUCCGGUGUUCAUCGAUACCCAUGUCAGGGCAACGGCGAAACAUAGUAGUGUUUUAUUGAAAAGCAACAUUUCCAAGCUAAUCCAACAUGUACACUGCGUUAUGCAGCAUAGCGUAUCGGCUGUAGAAACGUCAUCAUAUAGGCGUUAUCGGAAAUCUCCGAACUCGGUCAGAAUGUAACAACAACAACAAUACAUUUAUAACGCCGGCACCUAUAUCUCGUUAUCGACGAACAAACUGAUUAUGACGUCGUCGAUCGUUUCGAAGUAAUACUACGGCAUGCCAGCAUAUAAGUAUAUAACAUACGGCCAGGCUUAAGUGGAAGUUAUACAUUCAAUUUUCCAGCGUUAAAACAUACCUAAACAAAAUGCGUUUUACUCGCUUUGAGAUGAUUUUAGAGCAAAAAUACCUAAAACAAAAACGAAGAUGAUAAGAUAUUGGAGACAAUGUCCUGAUAUCCUUUUUUUUUAUAAACCUAAUAUUUAUUUAAGAUCUCAAUUUUUUUUACUUUUUUUAAAUAUCUAUAACUUUUUUUUACGUUAUUAAUUUUAAAAUUAGAGAUGACAUUUGAAUUUAUAAUAAGUGUUUUUUUCUCUAAAACAACCAUGAACCUAGUAAAAUACAUUCUGUGUAGCUGUGUAGUAUUUCCGGAGUUCACUACGUCAGUUUGCUUUGCAUUUACCAACGAAAACAUUCAUUGUCUAA